CCUACGGGAGGCAGCAGUGAGGAAUAUUGGUCAAUGGGCGCGAGCCUGAACCAGCCAAGUCGCGUGAGGGAGGACGGCCCUACGGGUUGUAAACCUCUUUUGCCGGGGAGCAACGGGCGUCACGUGUGGCGCCACUGAGAGUACCCGGAGAAAAAGCAUCGGCUAACUCCGUGCCAGCAGCCGCGGUAAUACGGAGGAUGCGAGCGUUAUCCGGAUUUAUUGGGUUUAAAGGGUGCGCAGGCGGAAUGUCAAGUCAGCGGUAAAAUUUCGGGGCUCAACCCCGUCGUGCCGUUGAAACUGGCGUUCUUGAGUGAGCGAGAAGUAUGCGGAAUGCGUGGUGUAGCGGUGAAAUGCAUAGAUAUCACGCAGAACUCCGAUUGCGAAGGCAGCAUACCGGCGCUCAACUGACGCUCAUGCACGAAAGCGUGGGUAUCGAACAGGAUUAGAUACCCUGGUAGUC
RNAcentral lists this ribosomal RNA (460 nucleotides) under uncultured bacterium. RNAcentral describes it as "partial 16S ribosomal RNA". It matches the Rfam family "Bacterial small subunit ribosomal RNA", at positions 338 to 795 of the family's 1533-position model. The record is from RNAcentral.